This 496-nucleotide ribosomal RNA is filed under the name uncultured bacterium. RNAcentral's name for it is "partial 16S ribosomal RNA". It matches the Rfam family "Bacterial small subunit ribosomal RNA", at positions 28 to 507 of the family's 1533-position model. The record is from RNAcentral.
GAUGAACGCUGGCGGCGUGCCUAAUACAUGCAAGUCGAGCGAACAGACGAGGAGCUUGCUCCUCUGACGUUAGCGGCGGACGGGUGAGUAACACGUGGAUAACCUACCUAUAAGACUGGAUAACUUCGGGAAACCGGAGCUAAUACCGGAUAAUAUAUUGAACCGCAUGGUUCCAUAGUGAAAGACGGUUUUGCUGUCACUUAUAGAUGGAUCCGCGCCGCAUUAGCUAGUUGGUAAGGUAACGGCUUACCAAGGCAACGAUGCGUAGCCGACCUGAGAGGGUGAUCGGCCACACUGGAACUGAGACACGGUCCAGACUCCUACGGGAGGCAGCAGUAGGGAAUCUUCCGCAAUGGGCGAAAGCCUGACGGAGCAACGCCGCGUGAGUGAUGAAGGUCUUCGGAUCGUAAAACUCUGUUAUUAGGGAAGAACAAAUGUGUAAGUAACUAUGCACGUCUUGACGGUACCUAAUCAGAAAGCCACGGCUAACUACGUG